This is a non-coding RNA of Gymnopus androsaceus JB14, 94 nucleotides long. The record is from the annotation of a GenBank genome assembly. Lineage: Eukaryota; Fungi; Basidiomycota; Agaricomycetes; Agaricales; Omphalotaceae.
GCUAUUAUGGCUCAGUGGUCAGAACAUGCAGGCUAAAUAGUCCACAUGUUGGACAUUUACUGGAAGGUCCCUGGUUUCAUUCCAGGUAACAGUA